GUGGGGAAUAUUGGGCAAUGGGUGAAACCCUGACCCAGCGACGCCGCGUGAGGGAAGACGGCCUUCGGGUUGUAAACCUCUUUUGUACGGGAAGAAGGAAGUGACGGUACUGUACGAAUAAGUCCCGGCUAACUACGUGCCAGCAGCCGCGGUAAUACGUAGGGGACGAGCGUUGUCCGGAAUUACUGGGCGUAAAGGGCGCGCAGGCUGUGCUGCAAGUCAGCUGUGAAAUGUCUGGGCUUAACCCGGGCAUGCAGUUGAGACUGGAGUGCUGGAGUGCUGUAGAGGCAAGGGGAAUUCCCAGUGUAGCGGUGAAAUGCGUAGAUAUUGGGAAGAACACCGGUGGCGAAGGCGACUUGCUGGGCAGCAACUGACGCUGAGGCGCGAAAGCCAGGGGAGCAAACGGGAUUAGAAACCCUAGUAGUCC
Molecule: ribosomal RNA, 427 nt
Filed under: uncultured bacterium
Lineage: Bacteria
Description: partial 16S ribosomal RNA
Rfam family: Bacterial small subunit ribosomal RNA
Source: RNAcentral